GAUCUUCUACCCCUAGUGGUGGGAAUAACAGGUGUAACAGCCUUAAUAAAACCCCGUAUACCAAGAGGUGAAACAGUACUAGGGAUGAGCUUGCGUCUGAUUAGCUGGUUGGUGAGGUAAAAGCUCACCAAGGCUACGAUCAGUAGCUGGUUUGAGAGAACGAACAGCCACAUUGGGAUUGAGAGACGGCCCAGACUUUUUAGGAAGGCAGCAGUGGGGAAUAUUUCGCAAUGAGCGCAAGCUUGACGAUGCGAUACCUCGUGGGGGAUGAGAGAUCUUUAGGUUUGUAAACCCCUUUUACUAAUGAGGAAGAUAUGACAGUAGUUAGUGAAUAAGCAUCGGCUAACUCCGUGCCAGCAGCCGCGGUAAUACGGGGGAUGCAAGCGUUGUCCAGGUGUAUUGGGCGUAAGGCGUCUGCAGGUUGUCUGACAAGUUUAUUGUUAAAGACUUGGGCUUAACCCGAGGGAAGCAAUAAAAACUAUCAGACUUGAGAAUGGAUGGGGUAGGGGGAAUUCCUAGUGUAGCGGUAAAAUGCGUAUAAAUUAGGAGGAACACCGACGGCGAAGGCGCCCUACUGGACCAUAUCUGACACUCAGAGACGAAAGCUGAGGGAGCNAAAAGGAUUAGGUACCCUUGUAGUCUCAGCUGUAAACGAUGGAUACUAGGUGCUGUAGCUGUACAGUGUCGUAGCCAACGCGUUAAGUAUCCCGCCUGGGGAGUACGCUCGCAAGGGUGAAACUCAAAGGAAUUGACGGGAGCCCUCGCAAGCGGUGGAGCAUGCGGUUUAAUUCGACAACGCGAAGAACCUUACCUAGAUUAGACCAUCGGUACAGAUACCCGAAAGGAAGUUCAGUAGAGUCUUCUUCGGGAGCAGCCGAUUGCAGGUGGUGCAUGGCUGUCGUCAGCUCGUGUCGUGAGAUGUCAGGUUAAGUCCUGAAACGAGCGCAACC
RNAcentral lists this ribosomal RNA (950 nucleotides) under metagenome. RNAcentral describes it as "bacterial SSU rRNA". It matches the Rfam family "Bacterial small subunit ribosomal RNA", at positions 120 to 1103 of the family's 1533-position model. The record is from RNAcentral.